CAAUAGCGUAUAUUAAAGUUGUUGCAGUUAAAAAGCUCGUAGUUGGACCUUGGACCUGGACAGGCGGUCCGCCUCACGGCGUGUACUGUCUUGCUGGGUCUUUCCUCUUGGUGAUCUGUUGUUUCGGCAGCAGGGAACCAGGACUUUUACUUUGAAAAAAUUAGAGUGUUCAAAGCAGGCUCGACGCCGGAAUAUAUUAGCAUGGAAUAAUAAAAUAGGACGUGCGGUUCUAUUUUGUUGGUUUUUGGAAUCGCCGUAAUGAUUAAUAGGGGCAGUCGGGGGCAUUAGUACUCACAUGCUAGAGGUGAAAUUCUUGGAUUUUGUGAAGACUAACUUCUGCGAAAGCAUUUGCCAAGGAUGUUUUCAUUAA
This 370-nucleotide ribosomal RNA is filed under the name uncultured eukaryote. RNAcentral's name for it is "partial 18S ribosomal RNA". It matches the Rfam family "Eukaryotic small subunit ribosomal RNA", at positions 592 to 976 of the family's 1831-position model. The record is from RNAcentral.